Molecule: ribosomal RNA, 3260 nt
Filed under: Durio zibethinus
Lineage: Eukaryota; Viridiplantae; Streptophyta; Magnoliopsida; Malvales; Malvaceae
Description: eukaryotic LSU rRNA
Rfam family: Eukaryotic large subunit ribosomal RNA
Source: RNAcentral
AUGAUCGUAGGUCAGGCGAGAUCACCCACUGAGUUUAAGCAUAUCAAUAAGUGAAGGAAAAGAAACUUAUCAAGAUUCCCCUAGUAACAACGAGCGAACUAAAAAGAGCCCAGCUUGAGAAUCGGGCACCCCCAGCGUCUAAAUUGUAGUCUAGAGAAGUGUCUUUAGCGACAGACCGGGCCCAAGUCCCAUGGAAAGGGGCAUCAAAAAAGGUGAGAGCCCCGUUAUGCUCGGACCCUAUCGUACCAUGAGGCACUAUCUGUAAGUCAAGUUGUUUGGGAAUGCAGCCUCAAUCAGGAGAUAAAUUCCAUCCAAGGUUGAAUACGAUGAGAGAUCGAUAGCGAACAAGUACCAUGAGGGAAAGAUGAAAAGGACUUUGAAAAGAGAGUCAAAGAGUGGUUGAAAUUGUCAAGAGGGAAGCGGAUGGGGGUCGACGAUGCACCUCGAUCAGAUGUGGAAUGACAAGAGUCGAUCCAUCGAUUGGCUCGGGGUGUGGACCGACGCGGGUUGUAGCAGUGACCUAAGCCUGGGCUUUUGAUGUGCCCAUGGAGACGUCGUCACUGUGAUCAUAGAUUGCAGUACGUGUCAUCUUAAUAUGGCUCGGCACCUACGUGCUCCCGACGUCAGCCUACAAGCUCCGCAUCUGACCCAUCUUGAAACAUGAACCAAAGAGUCUGACAUAUGUUGGAGUCAACGGGCCAGGAAACUCAUAAGGUGCAAAGAAGUUGAUUGGCGAGAUCCCUUGUGGGUACACCAUCGAUCGACCUUAAUCUUCUGAGAAGGGUUCGAGUGCGAGCAUGCCCGUCCAGACCCGAAAGAUGGUGAACUAUAGCAGAGAAAACUCUGGUGGAGGCUCGCAGCGAUACUGACAUGCAAAUUGUUCAUCUAACUUGGAUAUAGGGGUGAAAGACUAAUUGAACCGUCUAGUAGCUAGUUUCUUAUGAAGUUUCCCUUAAGAUAGUUGGAGCCCCUGGUGAGUUCUAUUAGGUAAAGCCAAUGAUUAGAGGCAUCAGGGGUGCAACGCCUUCGACCUAUUCUCAAACUUUAAAUACGUAGGACGAUGACGCUGCUUUGUUGAGCCGUGCCACAAAAUCGACAGCUCCAAGUGGGCCAUUUUUGGUAAGCAGAACUGGUGAUGCAGGAUGAAUCGAAAGUCAGGUUACGGUGCCCAACUGCGUAAUAACCUAGAACCCACAAAGGGUGUUGGUUGAUUAAGACAACAGGACGGAGGUCAUGAAAGUUGAAAUCCGCUAAGGAGUGUGUAACAACUCACCUGCCAAAUCAACUAGCCCCGAAAAUGGAUGGUGCUUAAGUUCGCGACCUAUACCCAAUCGUCAAGGCAAGGGCCAGGCCCCGAUGAGUAGGAGGGUGCGACGGUUAUCAUAAAACCUGAGGCACAAGCUCAGGUAGAGCGAUCAUUGGUGCAGAUCUUAGUGGCAGUAGCAAAUAUUCAAAUAAGAACUUUGAAGGUUCGAAGAGGGGAAAGUUUUCAUGUGAAAGACACUUGCACAUGGGUUAGUCGAUCCUAAGAGACGGGGGAAGCUCGUCCGAUAGAGCGUCCCCGAGAGCUUCGAAAGGGAAUUGGGUUAAAAUUUUUGAACUGGGAUGCGAUGACUAAUGGCAAUGUUAGGGAGUCUAGAGACGUCAGUGGGGGCCUCGAGAAGAGUUAUCUUUUUUAUUUAAUGGCCCACCCACCCUAGAAACAGCUCAGUCGGAGGUAGGGUCCAGCGGCCAGAAGAGCACCACAUGUCGCGUGGUGUCUGGUACACCCCUGGUGGCCCUUGAAAAUUUGAAGGACCGAGUGCCGUUCGUGCCUAGUUGUACUCAUAACCGCAUCGGUCUCCAAGGUGAACAGCCUCUGGUCGAUGGAAUAAUGUAGGCAAAGGAAGUCAGUAAAAUGGAUCUGUAAACUCAUGAAAAAGAUUGGCUCUAAGGGUUGGGCAUGGGGGUCUCAAUCUCAAAUCCAUCAGCUACCAGUGCACUGUUCGAGCUGCUUCCACAGCAAGAGCCGGUUGUCGCGUGUCGGCUUGGGGAUGGACUAGGAAUGGCUCUCUUGGGGGCCUUCCCUAGGUGACGAAUAGUCGACUCAAAACUAGUGCAGACAAGGGGAAUCUGACUGUUUAAUUUAAAUAAAGCAUUGCGAUGGUCCCUACAGUAGCUCAAGCAAUGUGAUUUUUACCUAGUGCUCUGAAUGUCAAAAUGAAGAAAUUCAAACAAGCACGGGUAAAUGACAGGAGUAACUAUGACUCUCUUAAUGUAGCCAAAUGCCUCAUCAUCUAAUUAGUGAUGCACAUGAAUGGAUUAACGAGAUUCCCACUGUCCCUAUCUACUAUCCAGUGAAACCACAGCCAAGGGAAUGGGCUUGGUGGAAUCAGUGGGGAAAGAAGACCCUGUUAAGCUUGACUCCAGUUUGACUUUGUGAAAUGACUAGAGAGGUGUAGAAUAAGUGGGAGCCCUCGGACGAAAUUGAAACAACAUUACUUUGAAAGUUAUUUUACUUUUUCCAUGAAUCGGAGGUGAGGCACAACCCCUUCUUUUGGACGAAAGGCUGACCUCGACCGAUUGAUCCUAGCAGAAGACAUUGUUAGGUGGGGGAGUUUGGCUAGGACAGCACAUCUGUUAAAAGAUAAUGCAGGUGUCCUAAGAUGAGUUCAACAAGAGCAAAAAUCUUGUGUGGAAUAAAAGGGUAAAAGCUCAUUUGACUCUAAUUUCCAAUACAAAUACGAACCAUGAAAGCAUGGCUUAUCGAUCCUUUAGACCUUUCAGAUUUGAAGCUAGAGGUGUCAAAAAAGUUACCAUAGGGAUAAUUGGCUUGUGGCAACCAAGUGUUCAUAGCGACAUUGCUUUUUAAUCCUUCGAUGUCGGCUCUUUCUAUCAUUGUGAAGCAGAAUUCACUGAGUGUUGGAUUGUUCACCCACCAAUAGGGAACAUGAGAUAGGUUUAGAUCAUCGUGAGACAGGUUAGUUUUACCCUACUGAUGGUGGCGUCGUGAUAGUAAUUCAACCUAGUACGAGAAGAACCAUUGAUUCGCACAAUUGGUCAUCACGUUCGGUUGAAAAGCCAGUGAUGUGAAGCUAUCAUGCAUUGGAUUAUGACUGAAUGCCUCUAAGUCAGAAUCUAGACUAGAAACGACACGCACGCCCGUUGCUUGAUUGCUGACCCAUAGUAGGGGCCUAUGGCCCCCAAGGGUAUGUGUCUUUGGUGGAACCCCUAAGGCAGAUGAGCCACACGGGCCUCCUUAGAGCUCAAUUCCCAUCAAA